CUACGGGUUGCUGCAGUGGGGAAUAUUGGACAAUGGGGGAAACCCUGAUCCAGCAAUGCCGCGUGUGUGAAGAAGGCCUGCGGGUUGUAAAGCACUUUCGGUUGGGAGGACUGCUUCUAGCACUAAUAUUGUUGGAAGUUGACGUUACCUUCAGAAGAAGCACCGGCUAACUCCGUGCCAGCAGCCGCGGGAAUAGCGGAGGGUGCAAGCGUUAAUCGGAAUUACUGGGCGUAAAGCGCGCGUAGGCGGCUAGAUCAGUCGGGUGUGAAAGCCCAGGGCUUAACCGGGGAACUGCAUCCGAUACUGUAUAGCUUGAGUACAGGAGAGGAGAGUGGAAUUCCACAUGUAGCGGUGAAAUGCGUAGAUAUGUGGAGGAACACCAAUGGCGAAGGCAGCUCUCUGUCCUGAUACUGACGCUGAGGUGCGAAAGCGUGGGGAGCAAACAGGAUUAGAUACCCCCGUAGUC
RNAcentral lists this ribosomal RNA (466 nucleotides) under uncultured bacterium. Its description in RNAcentral is "partial 16S ribosomal RNA". It matches the Rfam family "Bacterial small subunit ribosomal RNA", at positions 339 to 795 of the family's 1533-position model. The record is from RNAcentral.